This 83-nucleotide non-coding RNA is filed under the name Mollicutes bacterium. RNAcentral describes it as "c-di-GMP sequence". It matches the Rfam family "c-di-GMP-I riboswitch aptamer". From Rfam's summary of the family: GEMM was predicted in a large-scale screen for bacterial structured RNA regulatory elements. Genes associated with GEMM are involved in a diverse array of functions, including chemotaxis regulation, signal transduction, secretion and chitin. The record is from RNAcentral. RNAcentral also lists the same sequence under 1 other name. Lineage: Bacteria; Bacillati; Mycoplasmatota; Mollicutes.
AAUAUUUAGGGGCAACAACGUAGAAAUACGUUUACGCAAAGUCUCAGAGCUAAGGGAAAACCUAUGCUAGCUGGACCGCAAUA